UUCAGGUGGACGAACUGGAACCAAAGACGUGAAUAAUCAGUCAUCCUGACACUGAUGUUAGUCAGGUGAGCUGAACACGGCUGGUCCGGAGCUGUUAACACGCCGCCUCGCUCACUUCCUGUCACCACCUCCGCCGUCUAAUUACUCCUCCGCCUCCCCCCCGACGGGCGGCUAAUAUCUGGAGGCCUCCCCUGCUCUCGUUAGCGGCCCAGUGACGGGAACUGACAAUGGAUAUAAUCAGGACGGCCACACGGCGCCGAGCCUCCACGCCCCGCUGAUCGCUACCUUUACCGCCAUAAAUUAUUAAUGCCGCCGUCCAGAGCAGGUGUGAUUUUAUUUGUAGUGGCAGUAAUAAGUGGAGGCGGCGGAGAUGCGGUUAGAAGUUCAUCACAGCCGAGAAACAAACAGCGGCUGUCAGCGGCCGCUAAUGAAAUGCUUGAUUUGUUUGUUUUCCCUGCCGACACACCUCACGUGUCACAUCCGGCCAAACAACCGGCUCCCCAUUAGCGGGGCUAAUUAACUCUGCAACUGUCAAGCUAGCCGCGGCUAACGAAAGUGACAGCGAGGAGCGGCGGCGCUGAAGGCUGCUAAUAACUCAGGAGGCUAACAAUGGCCGACACCGCCGGGGAGAAGAAAGGGACGCCGUCGACAUCAAACCCAGUUAUCUUCCCCACUGGAUGGGGGGAGGCAGGGGGGAGGAGGAGCAGCCAAUCUCCCUCUUUAAUGCUGGUUAUUGGCGGCGAGCAGCUUCGUUCCCUCCUCCGCCGAUGAUGAAUGGUGGCCUGGUGAGGAGGACAGAUUACUCCCCCGAGAGCCGCCAUGAUUCAUGACAUAUUUAUCUGACGGAGGAGUCGGACCCCAGAAAUAUGAGCCUGUAAUUGUCAAUCAUGGAGGAGACUGAGGGCCACUGAGGGCCGAGGAGGGGCCCCUAAUGAUUAUAUGUAGGUUUAGACCUCCCAGUCCUCACUGAGAAUGUAAUUUAUACACAGAUUCAUGAGUUAUGAGUUAAAUAAAGUCCUGACAGUCAUCAGAUCCAGAUGUCAGAGUCUCUGCCAGCUCUGAAGAAUGAAGAAGAUCUUUCUAUAGAAACCAUUAAAGAGGCUUAGAGAUGUAACGUGGGCUCACUGACAUCUUCACCUGCUGGUCUCCCCCCACAUUUAUGGAUGUUAACAUGUUCAGCAGAAUCCACAGACAGCACAAUAAAAACUGUAUUUCACUCCUUUUAUUUUAUAUUUACAGCCGUCAUGAGUGUGUUAAUGCUGCUCGUGUAUCCGGCUAAAUGACAGACAGGAUUUAAAUGACAUGUCGUCCUCAGAGAGCCAAAUAAACGGCAUUAAAUAAAAG
Molecule: long non-coding RNA, 1344 nt
Organism: Amphiprion ocellaris (clown anemonefish)
Lineage: Eukaryota; Metazoa; Chordata; Actinopteri; Pomacentridae
Source: Ensembl